UUUUGCAACAAAGAAAAGGUCCACUAAAAUCAAAGGGGGUAUAAAAUGACACAUAUGGACUGAAUAUAGUCAGCUAAUAAUUUAUAGCAUGGGUAUUGAUAUGUAUGUAUGUAUGUAUUAAUGUAUGUGGUUGAUCAACCUUGGAGGAUGAUAUAGUCAGUUAAUAAUUUAUAGGCAGAAUUCUUAAGUGGUUGAUAUCUCAUGAAGGAUGAUUAACCUGGAUUCAACUGUUGCUCUCCUUUGCACCAAAGAAAAGGCCCACUAAAAUCGAAGGGGGUAUAAAAUGACACAUAUGGACUGAAUAUAGUCAGUUCAUAAUUUAUGUAUAUAUUGACAGAUAUCUUCAUUGCUUGAGAUAUACAUAUGUAUGUAUGUAUAUAUAGCCAGUUAAUAUAGUCAGUUAGUAAUUUAUAGCAUGGAUAUUGACAGAUAUCUUAAUCGUUGAGAUAUACAUAUGUAUGUAUGUAUGUAUGUAUAGCUAGUUAAUAUAGUCAGACAACUGAAUGAACAUAGUUAGUUAAGAAUUUAUAGCAUGGAUAUUGACAGAUAUCUUCAUCGCUUGAGACAUACAUAUAUAUGCACCGCUUUCCCCUGAAAGAACAACAUGCGUGAUCAAUUUUACAGGACUCCUAUGUCCAAGUUGGUUGAACAAAUGAACCAAUGAAUGAAUAAAGCAUAUGUGCUAUGCAUGAUGACGUCAAUGAGGACCAUUUACAUCAUAUGCACAAAUUGGAUGAAACUUUUUCAUUUUGGGUCAGCAUCAACAGCCAAUAAGUCAAAUGACUAGAGGUGCUAGUGUGCCAUUCUGUAUUGUCCGCACCACAAUGAUGUUGAAUGAUACAUGUGCAAGUUUUGCACCAACCUAUGUCAAUUUACAUUGGCAUGUACUACAACUUACAAGCAGCAAAAAACUAAAAUAUGCAUAUGUGCAUGUCAAUAAAUUAUAAAAUAUCCACACAACCCAAAAAAUAAUUUGGCUCAAAAUAAAUGAUAUUUAUUUGUAAUAAAAACAUGGGAAACUUGUAAUGUGUUAUUCUUCAUUUAAAUAUCUUAUUUGUACUUUUUUAUCCUACAAAAACAUUUUUUUAAUUCCUACUAAAAGCAACAAUGGUAGAUCAGAUACUGAAAGAACAUGCUUUUCUAGCAUAUCCUAGUGUCCUUUUGGCGUACCCUUAAGCAAUUUUGCAUAUCUUUUGGUCCACACAGAUGAGAGCAUGAUAACGUGCAAACCAUGCACGAUGCCAGCCUACUAAUGACUAAGUUAUCCAAUCACUGAUCAGCUAGGGGCUGUAUAAAAAGACAUACAACUUUUAAAUAAGAACUAGCUGUUCGCACCUACACAAGUGCGUACACCCAGCAUCCAUAGAGUCGAAAAUGAAACUAAUGAAAAAGAAAAACUUAGUAGAAAAAUAUUUUAAUAUUCUUGGCACGCAAGAGUUCCCUAAGCAAACAAAAAUUUGCAGAAGAAAUGUCAAAAUGAAGUGUUUUCAGAAACAUUGCUUGUGAAGAUAAUGCUUGAAAGUAGAUGAAAUGGAUCAGAUGACAUCCAAUCUGAUUUGUUUCUCUGAGUUUAUCUUGAUAGGAUAUUAAUUUUAGCAUUUGACUAAUAUCCAGUUCCCUAUUUGUAUCCACCAAAGAAAAAGGAUACAAAUAUGGAUAUAUAUUACAAAUAUCUGAGUGGUAUCCUUGUAAUAACCCAAGAUCUUAACCAAAAAGGCUAGCAGAAGGUCAUUAAUUAAGGUCCUUGACCUUACUUAAGUACUGAAAACCUCCUCAAUGCAUACCAAAUGUGGCACUAAACAAACACCCUCCUGCAUCCUCAUAAACUCUCCUAUUUAAGACCCAAAGUUGUUGCCAAAAAGAGGGUCCAAUCACAAACACCAAAACUGGCUCGUGGUUAGCCAAUGCUUUUGUGUCCUCCGGCCACCUGGGUUGUGGGUUGAGUCAACUCCAUUACCAUUUGGACAACCCUAGACGUCACCCAAGUGGCCUAGCUAGAAGAUUAUUAAUUAGGGCACUUGGCGCUGCUUAAGUACCCAAGACCUCCCAAAUGCACACCCAAUGUGGAACUAAUAACACACCCAUGCAGGUUCUUACAAUCCUAAUCCCUCUUUAGCCUGUGCAGUCUCUUAAAACUCCUGUAGACUCCCAAGGGUCAUAAGUGACAGUGUCAUAUGCAUUCAACUUUAUUUCCAUGCAAGAUAUUUAACUUAGUGAGUUGCAUUCUCAAACCACUAGCAAUAAGCCUUCAACUUAAAGUUUGCAGCAAAAUGAUUAGCAGUAUGAAGGAGUAGAUCUAGUGGGAGUGAAAUGACUAAUAAGAGACCACUGACCAAGUCAAAGUUAAACAACUAUUUUAAGAAUUCAAGACUCAACCUCUAUACUACAGUGAAGGAGAAUAUACUCCACUACUCUACACUACUUUAGUAGCAAAGAAGCUUUAAGGAAGACAUGAAAGGCAAGGGCCAAACCUUGAUUUACAGGGUCACCAGAAAAAGAAGCAUCUAAUAUCAAGGUUUAAGACAAUGCAAGCAUCAUGAAACUUACAGGAGCGUGCAAAAGAGGUCACAUAGUGGAUGAGCUGAAUGAUAACUAACAAAACUAGCUCAGAACACAUAGACAAUGGGAAAGAUAGAAUAAGCGAUCAUGCAGUAAACAAAAGAACUUAUUAUUUGAAGAACCAUUAGCAAAAUAAAACCUUAGACGAAGCUCCAAAGAAUAGGAAAGAUCAACCAUAAUAAAAGAACAAUCCUAGAAGGACAACAAUUAAGUCAAAGGCAUAGCACAACGUUGAGGUCCAUAUUGUAAUGGGAAGAAACAAAUUCUUUCAAAAUUGAUGUGAGAGCUAAUGAUUUACAUAAGCAAUAAAAGAAUAUUAUCACUAAUUUUUAUUAAAGCAGGUACAAAAAGCAUUAGAAAGAAAACACAUGGUCUGCCUGCACAAGUCAGCAGAUAGCUUGACAAAGGUGUUAGAAGAUGUCUAGUGAGCAAGAAAGGACAAGAAGAUAAUGCAUACUAAGCUCCUUAAAUAGAUCAUGGCACACCAUGAAAUUGAAAAGGAAGCAAUUAUUUUUUCCCUGCUUCACUUGGCUUAAGCACAAGAAUUGAAGACCUUUAUGGCACUUCAACAGCCUUUUAAAGGGGUCUUGAUUUUGUGGACCUAGUUAGAAAUGUGAAAACAACCUUCUUCAUUGGUGAUGGGCCAUGAAUUAUCAGUUCAAGAAUGGGGUCCCCAGUUCUAUUGAUUAAAUUCCUCUUUAGAUCCUAAAUGUGAUUCAUGAAAUCACUUCUUUGCUUCUCAAUUAUCAAAGCAUCAAACUCUCCACAUUCCUUCCAAUUCCUUGGAUAAUAGGCUGAUUCCAACCAAAAUCCAAUCAUUGGCCAAGUAUCACUCCAACCAAGGAAGCCAUUGACAACAAAUCUCCAAGAAGCUAGAUCAUGCUAGGACCCAGAUCUCCUCCAUCCCCAUUUCCUACCUACACAAACCUAAUUUAGUUGACGGAUGGGUCGAGUUUGGAUCAAAACUUAGAUCCAAACGCCAUAUGGGUUCUCAUCUGGAUUACGUGGUCACAUACUCAACCUUAUCUUUUAUUUUGUCAUCUUAAAUUAGGGUUGUAAUCGAGCUGAGCUUGAUUGAGCUUGGAUCUAACCAGGCUUGCUUUGUAAUUGAUUUUGAACCUAAAAGUUGAGAUCAAGCUGAAAUUGCUUACCACUAUUUUGACCUUGGUUCAAGCUUAAUUUUGAACUAAGCAAAAAGAAAACUAAACAAUCAGCUUGAAAAUUCUAAAUCGAGCAAGAAAUCAACUCAAGAUUGAACAAAGCUCGGCCCAAGAUUGAAUUAAAGCUUGAUUCAAGCUUUGUUCAAAUCUAAAUUAAUCUUUAAUGGAUUCAAAAAUUGAAUAAACAUGCAAGUUUGAAACAAUCCUUAAUACAAUGGACUGUUGGGUCUAAGAUAAAAUGGCCACUAUCUAAACUUAUAUAAUUAUAUAAAAACAUAUAUUUUCAAGCCUAAUUGAAUCAAGCUUGAUUUUAGCUGGUCUAUUUUUGGUUUGGCUUGGAAUUAAUUUUCAGCCUCGAUUGAUGGUUCAAGCCUGGUUCCUUAGCUUCGAAGCAAGCUUGAACUAAACUUUUUACAAGUUGAGUCCUAGAUGAGCUCAAGUUGUUUUGAUUGUUUGCCACACCUACCUUAAACCAAAAGAGAAGUUGAAGAGGAUGAUGAUACUACAUUUGGCUAUAGAAACACUACUCCUCCUUAGAAGUUCACCGACGGAGGAUAGGAAUUCAGCAAAUACUGCAGCAGAUUUCGGCAAGCACUUUGUUGAGUGGGAUUUUGGGGCUUUACAGGUUUUGUUCAUAAACUCUCCUCUUUCCUAACUAGUUUGAUGUUGACACCAUUUAACUAGAUUAGUUUAAGCAUUCAAGCGAUUCAAUAGUCCAAUGCAAUGGCUCAAGAUAGAUUUCAACAAAAACUAGGUCCACAUCUACCCCUACCUAUAUUUCUUAAGAGGCACCCUAGAUAGAAACACUAGCAAGGUUCACAAAAGGCAUGAAUGAUGGUAAAAACAAGAUCUAACAAGAGCGUCAAGAGUUAGCCAUCAAUAAGCCAAGAUGGUUAGGCUAUGCUUGCUAUCACCUCGAGCAUUCUGAAAAAUGAGAUGAGCAACAGUGAGACAAAGUACCACACCAUGAGAUGAACGUUAGUAUAGGACAAAUCAAAGGAUGCAACUAACUACAAUAUCUGGACCGAGAUUUGUUGUACCAGUGAGUACCGCCCCAUGUACCAAUACGAACUGAGAUUUGGUACGGAGGGCAUACUGAGUCUUAGUACGUCGAACCAACCCCUAUAUCUAGCAUGCUGACACUAUAUCACCAUGCUACCGGUAUAGGAUCCUGUGCCAAAAUGGUAAACCUUGGUCUGGACAUAGAUCAAAGACCGCCGAGUGGAAAAUCCAAAAGUUUAGAACAUGUUGGAGCGGGAGAAAGAAGGCCUAAAAAGAAGUGCUGGCAUAUAUGUGGAGAAGAUAAGUGCAUAGAUAUCAUGAAGAUAGAAUUCAAGAUAGUAGCAUACAACUUCAAAGAAGGUCAUGCACCUCAAAAAAUGGAGGCACUCAACACAAAGUUCAUUAAACAACAUCGACACUUGCAACUAUAACUCAAUGCAUUCAACAAGAGCAAUGAGAGACUCAAGUACAAGUGUACAACCAAAGUUGAGAAGCUUCAGAAAAGUAUAACUUAGAGCUCAGCUGCAGUGUGUUCAAAUUUCAGAACUAAAUGAGCUUCAAAUGAAUGUUCCAAUUGCAUAGUGCCUCCCUAGAAAUUUUAUAAAUUUCCAUAGUUUAAUGGAAAAUAUAGACAAUCACAUAACAUACUCCAUAUUUCAUGUGACAAGCAACAAAACAUUUAUAACAUGUCAGUAAAUUAUUACCCCAAUAAAGAAAUGCAGCCAUUUGGGUCCUUUCACGUGCUUUUGGAGAAAUGGAAUCCCUGUUACAAACCCACAGAAAUACCCACAUAAAGAUAGCCUCAACGAGAUCUGAAUGAACCAAAAUAAACAAUAAAAUUAUAAUACUUGCCCGUAUUCAAUCCGUGGACAGCACCAAGCCUUGCGCCAGCCACCGAACCAGCCUAUCCAACAAUUAGCACAUGAUUCAAAUAAAACCUCCAGCUCAAAAUAAACAAAUGCCAUCAACCAGUCACUAUAAUAAAACAGUACUGCAAAAGCAGUUCAGAGAAGAGGGGUAAAAUCUCUAAGAGAAGUAUGUGACGAAGUAUUCGCAUACCACAGCAGUCGCAUCAUGCAACGAAGAAGUGAUCGUCCACUCCCGUUUUUCCUGAACAAUUGCAUGGAAAUAAAUCAAUAUCGCGAUAGAAGGAAACGUGAUCGCGAUACCUAUCAAGGUAACAAGUUAGAGGUAAACAAUAUUCGAUUUUGAUUAGAAAAAGGAAAAAGGACUAUAAUUUAAUUAUUAAAAAAAAUCGAAAUUAAAUCGAGAACGAAGAUAAUGGGGGAACCGCGUUAGGGUUUAUGAGGGAGAGACAACGGGGGCAGCGGGGGGAGCCGAGGCCAGGGUUCAUGGUGGGAUCGUGAUAAAGAUUGCCCGUCCGGAGCUUCUCCUCGUACGCUUCCCUCGUCCCCAUCAAUCUCCUACGUCCCAAAGCCUUCAAACAAAUUUUGAAGAAAAUUUAGUGUUUCAAGCUGAGAGGGAAGCAAAAAAGCUGCGGUUCGCAGGACUUCACAGGAAACUCGGGAGGCCUCAGAAAAAGAGAGAGAUAAAGCCGCAAGAGCUUGUUGAGAUUUAUCGUCAAACCCUAAUUUUAAUUUUACUAGAAUUCUUAUUUAGUUAGCUAUUAAUUUUAGUAACUUUAGAAUUUUAUUUUAAUCUUAUUCUAUUUUGUUUUUUUAAAAAAAUAAUUAUUUUUAUUUUUUAAUAAUUAUCAAGUUUUAUUUUUUAGUGGGAGCUGAUUUUUGAAUUUAAGUCAUUUAUAUCUCUUUGGUAUCUUUUUAGUGUGGCAUGAGAAAAAAGAGAAAAAUAAGAGAAUAAGAGUUGUGUUUCUCGGCGAAUCAUCAUAGUUGAAGUUAGUCCUAUCUCUAGCAUCAAGAUCAAAAAAAUUGAACAAGACCAAUUAUAUAUAUUAGAAGGCCUAAUUCAAAUUUUAUUUGAUCGGAUAAGAUUUAUGGGAGAUUGUGAACAGGAUAUAUGCGGUGAAGCCACUAGAAACUUCUGGCAAUACAGAAGUGAAAAAAAAGUGGGAGAUCAAAGUUGGAAACUCUCCACUUGAAGUCUAAUGAGGCUCGGUUUCAAUUUUUAGAGAACUAGAUUGGUGCUCUCAAACAAAGUAAUCUUAUAAUCUCCUAAUAUUUUUUUAAAGAAAAGAGAUUGUUUGAUGAGCUUAGUAUGCUUAAUCCAAAGUCUCGUUAUGAUGAAAAUAAACGGCAUACACUGUUAGUUCGUAGUUUGAAUAAGGAGUAUAGUGCUUAUAUGAUUGGAUGGGCUCAAUAAUUUGUAUUAGCAGAGUUAAAAAAUAUAGUUGUUAAUCAAGAAGUACUUAAUACUCAGAUGUGUGGUUUGACUAUAUCCCCUCAAAAAGUUGUCUUCAUCAAAAAAGACCAUAUCCCCUCAAAAAGAAGAGGUUUUAUUUUCUGGGAGUAAAAAUAAAAAUAAGAAGUGAAAUAACAAAUUUGAAAAUUUAGAAAAAAAAGCCAUUUGGAGAAUUUGAGAUGAAUAAAAAUUGUAAUUAGAAGAAAAAUUAUAAAUUCAAAGAGAAUUAUCAUAUGUGUGGAAAAUUUGGCUGCACAAUUCAAGAUUGCAGAGUAAAGCUUAAACAAUCUAAUAUUACAUCCUUUACUUUAGAGCAUAGGGGAGAGAAAAAACUAGUAGUUGGGAUUCUAGUUGUCUUGUUAACCAGUAUGCUAGAUUGGCUCAUGUAAAUCAUAACAGACUUUAAGAUUUGAAUCAGAGAAAGCUUGAUCAGUUGGAGACUGGUUCAAGUUUGGAAGACUCAAAGCAUGGCAAAAUUGAUCAGCAAAAAAAUCAACCUGAGGAUCAAUCAGGUCUAAAAGAAAAUCUAGAGUAGAAAGAGCUUAAUUAGGUGGAUAUCAUAUCAAGCUUAAAAAAGAUCAUGAUUAUAGAAAUAAUUGAUUCUGAAGUUGCUCGGGAAGAGUUAAAGAAUGCUAUAGUUGAUUCGUUCGUAAAGAUCUGUACUGAAUCAAAUAAUACAUAAGAGUUUUGUGUCCAAGCUAUUCAAGAUAUGGAUAUUUUUUAUAGAGAUUUAGUUAGCCAUGAGGUUGAAAAGUUGACUAAUUUUGAAGUAGUUCUAGAGAUCAAACAGAAAGAAGACAUGCUUAGUAGAGAUGAUUCAUGUUAUGCUUUGGUACUCGACAAGGUUUUUAGUAUACUAAAUGAUUUUGAAGCUACUCAAAAGUUCGAGAUAUUCGAAGACUUUUUGCAUGAAGAUGCUCAAGUGGACGUAUAUGAAUAUAGCCAAAGUUUUGUUGUUGAUUUCACAUAUGUGCAAGUAAUGGCCAAUGCUCGACUAAGCAGUGAUUGUAACCGAUAACUUGAUGUUUAUUAGAAUGAGCUAGAUGCUCAACAUAAUCUCGGUAUCAUGACUGUAAAAUUAAUACUGAAGAGAAGUAUUAGAGGACAUCGUCGAUUUCGAUAUAUGCAUAAAAAAGGACAAGCUAGCAAUAAUAUUGGUUAUUCAAUUAUUGGUUUGACAAGUUAUUAUAUAUUAUUGUUACUGCAAUAAUAUUGGCAAUAAUUGCUGUGGCAUUUCACGACAUUGAUAACUUCAAUAUUAUUGGUAUAGACUUUGCAAUGAGGGGGAGUGUUGAGAUUUAUUGCCAAGUCCAAAUCUUAUUAGGAUUUUUGUUUAGUUGGUCAUUAGUUUUAAUGACUUUAGGAUUCCAUUCAGAGUCUUAUUCUACUUAGUUAUUUCUUCUAGAAUAGUUAUCAUUAAUCUUUAGUAGUUAUCAAGUCUUAUCUUUUAGUGGGUGUUAGCUUUUGAAUUUGAGUAGUAAUCAAAUAUUCCGCCCAUAUGAACUCUAUUUAAAGGGACCUUUGUUGUAUCUUUUAGUGUGGCAUGUGAAAAGAGAGAGAAGGAGAGUGUGAGAGUUGUCCUUUUUGGUGAAGACUGAAAGAGUGCCUUUUUGUGUGACUUAAUUUUUUAAUUAAGUACUUUUCUCCCUCCUAAUUAGUUUUCUUUCGGCAUCUUCUUUUUUUUUUUAUUUGGAAUUUGUUCUAAAAUUUGGGCUAGUAUAGUCGAUCUACUCUGCAUAGCUUGCCAUUCUACAAAGCUCAUUCCUUGAGCCGACUGCUUGGACUCGAGAGGCAGGGGUUGUGGAGGCAAUCGAAGGAAAGGUCAAGGAAGUGGAGGGUGGGGGCGAGCCUAGUGAGGAGGUCAUCGGGGUCCUCGAGGUUGGGGAGGAGGGGGGAGCGAGAAAAAAUGAGGCUGUGGAUAAGGAAGUGGCUAGCGGUGCAUCUUGAUUAUUGGUUUACCUAGGUUUUGCUUACUAAUAAUAUAUCCCUACAUUUUUUUUACAAAAUAUGUUUGUCAUUAUCAUAUCAUCUAGCAUGGAAAUAUAAAACUCAUAUUAUAUUAUUGGACUCCUAGUGAGUCGAGAUGAAACUCGCUGAUCUCCGUGUUAUCCCAUUAUCCCAUAUCCUCAUAUUGGAUAUUGGAGAAAUAAUGUAAUAUCAAACUCUUACUUAAAUAAAAUCAUGAUCCAUUAAAAUCUUCGAUCAUAUCAUGCACUUUUUUAAAAAAAAAUUUCCAUUCGUACGUUUUUUUAAAAAAAUAAUUAAUUAUUACUAAAAUUUAAGUAACAGCUUAAGCUUGAUCAUAUUGUUGUUCUAAUAUGAAUACAAUGCUAUAUGAUAGAUUCCAUUCUAUAGCUAAAACUUUAUCCAUAUCCAAGUCAACUAAUAUGCUCCAUAUAGUCUGAGACGUCACUAUUGAUACGUGGGUCGGGCCACAACUUUGCUGAUAUCCAGAAUGCAGCAAGGUAUCAUGCCUUUUAGGUUAAGGAACCACUUAUAACUUGGGCAACUUGGUUUUUAUCUCAACUCUUAACAGUGAUUUCAGAUGUAAAUUGCUAAUAUUGACCAUUCAAUAUGAUGGUAUGCCUGGGUGUGAUCACGAGAUCAUUAUAUCAAUUAGAGGAGCCGUGUAGUCACUAUACACCUUAGUAAUCUUGCUCAUAACGGUAAAUUAUUUGAAACACUUAGGAAUAUUCAAUGCUCUUGCUAAUAAACACUCAGACAAUUACUCUAGAAUAUUAGUGGACUCUUUUCUAGCUCCAAGAUUAAUGUGUGAUAUAUACCGUAUAUGGUUUAAGUUAUUAUAAAGAGAAAAAAAAUUAUGCAUUAAAGAAAUGGCUUUUAGCUAAUAGCAAAUUUUUAUUUUCAAUACUAUUGUCCUACGUGUCUUCAUGAUCGGUUUCAGUACAACAAUUUAGCUGACACGUGGUGUAAGAGAGAGGACUAAUUCAUGAUGGUGUGUAGGCAUAAAGAAAUCUAUAUUAAUUACUUGCAAAAGCAUAAGCUAACAAUUAUAAUUUUUGGGACUAAUUUAAUAACCAAAUUUUUGUUAGGCCUGAAACCCUUCUCUUAUUUCAUGCUUGAAUUCUAUAUUACACAUCGGAUGUUAAAGUUUCAGUAUUUUCUUUUAUGUUGAUAAAUUGGGGUGUAAAAUUUGUUUUUGGAUUAUCAGAGGCAUGAUGUUUUCCAUGUGUUUUAUUGAUUGAAAAAUGGAAUCCUAUUGUUGUGAUGCACCAAUCCUUUAAUUCGUGUAUUUCAUUUGAUGUUUGUAAAGUUUUGAGAGUUUUUUGGUUCAUUAGAACCUAAUUUUCACAAUUUUCUUAAUUUGUGGUUGAAAAUAAAAAAUUAAUAGAGUUUUGAUUUGGAUAUAAAAAAAAUAAAAAUUAAAAAAUUGUGUGCUCGGUACAAGCCAUCUCGUUGCAAAGGCACUCAAAGAAGAAGGUGGAAAGCCACUUAGAGAAUUAUUUCCAUCCCAAGGCAGCCGCAUCAUGCAAUAUAGAAGUGAUCAGCCACUACCUGUCCCCCUACACGAUUCAAAGCAAAUCAAACAAUAUCUAAAAAGAAGGAAAGAUAAUCACAACAACAACCAAGGUAUCAAACUUUAGGUAAAAGGAAAAUGCCGAUAUUGAUAAGGCAUAAACGUAUUCAGCAUAAAGAGAACUUAAACAUAAUUGUAGAAGAUUAAGGUUAGAUUAAGAACAGAAUGGGUGGGUAAAGGGAAGAAGGGAGGAACUUAGGGUUUAUAAGAACGAAAAUGGGGGCAUCAUAGGGUGCCAAGGCUAUGGUUCAUGGUGGAGUCAUAAUAAAGAUAGCUUGUCGAAAGCUAAUUCUCAUAGACUUCCCUUGUCCGCAUCACUCUCCUAAGUCUGGAAAGCCUUCAAUAUGUAGAAGAAAAUCGAGUGGCUUUGGCUGAGGAAAAAGAAGGCUUUUCUUGCAAAAACAAUAAUCUAUAGCAGAAACAAGCAACAAAAGAGAUCUAAAUUCAGAGUGUUGCCUCUGUAUUCAAACUAAGAUAGUAGCAUAAUGCGGACAACCCUAAGAUCUACUGAAGAUGGGCUGAGCAGGCUGGUUGAGACGUUGGAGGCUAGACUCCUCCACUGGGUGGCCUGCAAGAAGUCCAUUUGCUGGAGAAUUUUCGACGGAGACCCUCCGAUGUCUAAGUCAGAACAAUAAGACAAUAAUAUAGAAGGGAGAGAUUUCAGCAAAGUGAAGGCUAUGUGAGAAGAGUAGUAUAUUACGUACCUGAGGUCUCGUGGGUUGCUCCCUUUAUACAGAAAAGCCAAUUUGUCAUUAUUCGGGCCGACAUGGUGUGCAAUGAUAGCCAGAUAGUGGCUUUGGUAUAGCUGCGACAUGGGUGUUAAUCCAUGUAGGCGGCAGAGUGUGCUAGAGGGGUGCAGGAUAUGAUGCCACCGCAACUAUGGACUACUAGCAUUGUCGAUUGUUGGGGUUGUCGACCCUUGUCGAUGCAUACUGUUGUUUUUUGCGGCUGGCGACUUGUUGGUUGGAGUCGAAGUCGUUCACUCAGUUUAUGUCCGAGAAUAAGAAGGUCAGUCAGGCAUGAGGUCGGGGUGUCCAGUAUUUCUCCCAUCACUUGCCUCCCAUUUUCGAGGCCGAAUAAUACUCUAGCUCGGGCAAUGGAAGUUGAGUAAUUACUUCGAUCGAGAGCGAGACCUUCAUGUGGCACUUUACUUUAGUUACCAACUCUUAUGCUCUUUUUCAGCAUGCCCAUGUGGUUAGCGAGAUAGAGCGGCUAGCCGAGAGGUUUUGCGUAUUUCGACCCUUGAGGAGAAAUAGAAAGAGGCCUUUAAGCGGGCCGAGCUGUGUGUGUCGAAGAUCAUGGCGACCGAGGCGAAGGCCAAGUCAACCAAAGAUGAGUCUAGGUUGGUAGAAGCCCGCUCUUCGGCCGCGUGGACCCAGACGAAGGAGGCCCAGCUUUCUGCAACCAGGAAGGCCCUCAAAGCUGCCGAUCAGAGAGCGGCGGAUCUUUCUAUGGAGCUAGCCCAAGUCGAGUAGAGGGUCUAGGAGGCAAAACAGCAGACCAAUGAGGCAAACUGUUGAGCUGCCGAGGCCGGCGAGCAAGCCCUUCGUGCCGAGGCGAAGGUCGCAGAAGCGGUUGAAGAGUAUCACGCCUCAGAGAAGUUUCGAGAGGAGACCCUGGAGACUGUGGCUGACACCUUUGAGAAGGACUUUGAGGCAUGCUGAGCUCAAGCCCAACGGCUUUUCUCGAAAAUGGACUUCUCGGUCCUUGAUGACGUCAGGAAGGUGGCGACCCUGUCGAUGGCAAAGGCAACGAUAAUGACCACAAUGAAAGCUCCGAUGGGGGCGAGGACCAGGGACUUCCAAGUACCUGACUUUGAUCUUGAUUUACAUCGUGUUAUUAUUUGCUCUUUGUUUAAGCUGAGGUUGUCGUCCUAAGAUUUAACCUUUUGGUGUAGCUAUUUUUGCUCAGUUUCUACCGAGGUUACUAUAUGCACUAGAAGAUAAUAAAAGCAGAGGAAUUUUUUGAAGUACCUUCUUCAAUUUUUGCUUGUCAUCGAGCUUUUGGCGCAGCGGCCAAUUUUUCUGCUCAGACCAUUGCUGACCUGAAAAGGUCGGUAGACUUGUCGAGCCUUUAGCGUGGCAGCCAAUUCUUCUGCUCAUGUCAUUUUGGACCUGAAGAGGUUGCUUGACUCAUCAAGACUUCGACACAACAGCUGGUUUUCCUACUCAAGUUGUUACGGACUUGAAGAGGUCACUUGACUCUUCGAGCCUUCGACACAAUAAUCGGUUCUCCUGCUUAGAUCAUUAUGGACUUGAAAAGGUCGCUUGACUCGCCAAGCCUUUAGCAUGGCGGCCAAUCUUCUUAUCUUGGGAGUAUACUCCUCGAGACAUCUCUAAGGUUGGCUACCAGAGAAAAUUCAAGUGAGCUCGAUCUUUAAGAGGUCAGUGCCUCCAUUCGUCUCUAGAGUAUGCUCCCAGAGGCAUCUCUGGGCUUGGCUACCAGAAAAAAUCUGAGUGGGAUCGAUCUUCAAAAAGUCGGCACCUCCAUUCGUCUCUAGAGCAUGCUUUCGAAGGCAUCUUUAGGUUUGGCUACUAGAUAAAAUCUGAGUAGGCUUGGUCUUCGAGAGGUUGGCACCUCCGUUAUCUCCAAAGUAUGCUUCUAAAGGCAUCUCUAGAUUUGGCUACUAGAAAAAAUUCCAGUAGGCUUAAUCUUCUCAUCUCAGGAGUAUGCUCCCCAAGGUAUCUCUGAGGCUCAAUUUUCUCAUCUUGGGAGUAUUCUUUUUGAGGCAUCUUAGAGUUUUGAGUGGGCUCAGUCUUCUUAUCUUGAGAGUGUGCUCCUUAAAGCAUCUCUGGAGUUGGAUACCAGAGAAAAUCCGAGUAGACUCGGUCUUCUCAUCUUGGGAGUAGGCUCUCCAAGGCAUCUCUAGGGUUGACUACCUAAAAAAAAUCCAAGUGGGCUCGGUCUUCGGAAGGUUGGUGCCUCCUUUUCUCUCCGGAUUGAGAUCUCGGAGGGAUCCCGAGGAGCUCAGUUUAGGGAGUCUCCAAGCGUCCCUAGGUGGUGUCUCUUUUAUUGGGGCUCGAGCAUUUUUGGGGUGUCCCAAGUCGAGUAUAAUUGGCAUAGUUGUCCGAUCUAAAAGAUAAACACAAUGAGAGAAUUUUUAUUAAAAAUAAGUUCGAACUUCAAUGGGCCUUAUUAAUAACACGUGCAGAGGUUGUCGUAGUCUUAAGCCUGCAAGAUUGAGGUGCUCUCGAGGUCUCCCAACCUAUACACUGAAUAUCUUCCGUUGCUGGAUUUUGAGAUUCUUCAAAGACUUCAGUCUAGUGAUCAACGUCUUGCACUUAGCUUCGCUAUUUGGGGCGGAGUAUUCGAACCAGGGGGCAUACUUCGCUAAGGUCAGUGAGUAUGGGACCGGCUUUGCUGCCCCUCGGGCUCGAUGACCUAUCUACGUGCAUGAUUUAUGACAGCUCUAUGGUCAUCCUUUUUGAGGAGUUCGGCUAUCCAAGGCACUUAGGGGCCUCAGCAAGCCUGCCUAAGAUGGUAUUGAUGAUACCUAUUAUCGGGCAAUCGUGUAUCGGCUUCAGGGGUGGCAAACUAGAGGAGGAAGCAGAUGCUUCUCGGUAAUAUUGAGCAUGAGCACUUCUCCAGGGAUCGUUGCUCGCCCUCAGAGCCUGAACUUUGAGGGCCUGAAUCUGGUAGCCUAUUUCCUCGAUCCUUCUAUUGAGGUCAACAACCCACUGAGGCUGGGGCUCCAUGGGACGAACAGGCGAGAGGCUCUGGAUGGAGUCCAUGUCGGAAUGGGGGCUUGGAGUGUGUCGUCUCCCAUUUUGAGCAGAGUUGUUCUGCCGAGUGUGCCGAUGUUGACACGAUCACUCAAGAUUCCAAUCUAGAGAGUGGUGGCUGUCCUGAUGUACAUGGUGUGCCGAUGACUAAGAAUGGGGCUGUGCUGGUCGGGUUCUGGUUGGGCUGGCAACGCCAUUGUCUGCUGCAAGCCUUGAACCAUCGUGGUCAAUGCCUACACCUAUUAAGUGAGCAGGUUGAACAACUCAUUAUCUAUAGGCGCGGCAGGCUACUUUGGUGGAGCAAGUUCGAGGCUUUGCAACGACCCUUGGGAGGUCGGAGCACGGCAUUGCAAAGCACGCGACGUGCUACGGGUUCCUCGCGACUUCAUGUUUAUUGUCUUCCCUUCGAUUGAGGUUGAUGUUGCUAGUUGCUAGGAGCUAGACCCUUCCUCUAGCGCCAAUCUAUUAUUGCUAUAUCCAAAUCGAGGUGGACACAACUCGAACGACCUUGAGGUUGGCUGGAGAUGGACUAAGCAGAAUGGUUGAGGCAUUGGGCGCUAAACUCCUCCGUUGGGUGACCUGCAAGAAAGUCUACUUGUCGAAGAAUUUUCGGCAAAGAACCCUCCGAUGCCUAAGUCGGAACAACGAGACAACAAUAUGGAAGAAAGAGAUUUUAGCAGAGUGAUGGCUCUAUGAAAAGGGUGGUGUAUUGCAUGUAUAUUGCGUACUCGAGAUCCCCCAGGUUGCUCCUCUUAUAUGGAAAGCUAAUAAUAGCCAGGCAGUAGCCGGUGGCACGGCCCCAACUUGAGUGCCAGUCUACGUGGGCAGCAGAGUACUCUAAUGGAGGAUAGGAUAUGAUGCCGUUGCGACUGCGGAUUGCCAGGGUUGUUGGUUGUUAGGAUUGUCAGCCCUUGUCGAUGCUUGCCGAUUAUUCUCCAUGGUUGGUGACUCCUCGGUCGGAGCCAAAGUCGUUCGCCUCGGUUUACGUCCGAGGAUAGAUAGGUCCGUCAGGCCCAAGGUCGGGAUGUCCAGUAUUUCUCCCAUCAUAGAGCAAUCCAGCUUCCUUUAAAAAAAUACUAACAAGCCUAGCUUUAAUGGGUGAGAGCAUAUCUUUCGCACAAAAGAAAAAUUCACUUUCCUUUGUGCGAAUCCAUCAUUGGAUUGCAUAAUAGUCGCUUUGAGAUCUAUGCUAAUGGAUGAAUGGAGAUAUUUAGAGUGCCUGGAGAUCUGUGCAGGUUGUGAUCCAGCGAUUCACAUCACGAAAAAAAGAUCAAUUAUUCUAUCAUGCAAAAGUACAACCCAAAGCCUAGCCUUAGUAUUGUAAGUCAUGAAGGUCAAUUCUUAUUUUAAUAAAAAUAAGAUCCUAUAGAAGAUAGAUUUAGUAGAGCUGUUAUUUCUUUCCAACUAAGGAAUCCAAGAUCCCCAAAUUAAAGUUCGAAUAUUCAAAUUUGGUUUUAGCAAAGUUGGAUCUAAAUAUCUCGUCCCGUCAUAUUUAUACGGUUUGUUUCUGGCUCAUUGCAGGCCUAGACUCAAGUAAACUGCUAACCCAAAGAAAUAUGGUUAUGCCAUCAAGAUGGUAGCACGAUCAGAACGGGGCUAAGAUUCCACGGGAGUGACCCAGAUUCGAAACGCGUGGACGUCGAUUAAAUGUGGGGAUCGGAUGCCCCAUGUCUGCUUUGUCUGUCGCCAUGUAAUUCGUCGGUACCAAGGUGGUGCUGGGGUGACGUACUCAUAUGUGGGGCAAUCCACGGGUCGGAGAGGGCACGCAAAAAUUUGCAACCUGCAUCGAAUAUUUUCUAGUGGAAGAGGAGCCCAAUGGGGGCAGCAACGUGGGUGGGUUCAUCCCUCCCCCUAACCAAAAAAAAAAAAAAAGAAAGAAAGAAAGAAAAAGAAAUAUGGCUAUGCUAAUAAAAAUGAGUAAGCUGAAAAGUUUUUCAGCAUAGAAGACCAUGCCAGUUUUUCUCAUUGGGUUGUGAUGUAUACGUGUUUGGUGCUUGUAGUGGACUUAGUGGCUAAGAGGUUGCUUUCACAAUUUUUGGUGAUUUGACGACUCGAGGAUUGCAAAAGCCUUAAUAAUUUACAUGGAAAGCCUGUAAAUAUGGGACUGCAAACUUUAUGUCUCUUCUAACACCACUACAAACAACAAUGCACUGUCUUUUUCUUUUUUUUUAUUUUUAGACCCCUCUGUCCCACUUACUGCAUCUAAAUUCGGUAUGAAGGUCAGGGAUGGCAAUGAACCGGAUGCGGAUCAAAUAGUCUAUUGCUCAUAUACAUCUUAGAUAGAAGAGCAAAUAGAGUUUCAGAGCGAAAUAAAAUAAAUAAAGUUAGAUGGAAUAAAUUGGAUCGAAUUGUGUAAAACUAUAUGUAUAUUGCAUAUAAAUUAUUUUUUAUUUUAAAGAAAAAAAAUUGUGAAGAAUUUUAUAGAUAUCUGGAUUGGAUUUGGAAUAGUUUUUAUCAUUAUCCAAUAUCAAAAAUAUUCUAUCGUUCAUAUUGACUGAAGGCGAGACUGUACACAGGUCGGACUGAAUGGGCUAACAACUAUGCACCUCCUAGCAUUCGGUUGGAUCAUGGUGAUAGAAGGAGCAGGUAAAAGGAAAGUGUUUGCCAUAGGCAACUACUUUAAACAGCGAUUGCUGUAUCCAUAUCAUAAGUGGUUGAUGUCCAUUUAGGAUCUGCUGAGGAUCGACUAAAAUCUGUUCUAUUAGGAUCGGGUCGAGUCUGGUAUUUGAUGGGUAGAAUAAAUUGUCACCUCUGAUUGAGGUGGCUCUCUUAAAAGGUGCAUAGUAUGAUAGAUCCACACGAACCGUUUCUUCUGUUUGGUAUGGAAAUUAGGAAACUCCCAUUAGGGUUUAUGGUGGAAAAAGCUGUUUUUCUAUUGGCGUUCAAGCACUAACCCUAGUCUACUUUAUCUGUGAUAACUUUGAUCUCAUGGCACCGUGUCCACGAAAUCAAAGCUGGUGUACGCAUGUCGUUGUCACAAGACCCUUUUCCUGAUGGAGUUACCGUUACUGUUUUUUGAGGGUAACUAAGGAUUUGGCCAUGCAAAAUUCCACAGAUACAUAACGUUACCAAUUUUAGCUCAUAGAUGAUGACACACAUUUGUGUUGAAGAGCCAUAUAUAUGCUACCAACAAAAUAUACUCGGACCGAAAAGUUGUGCUUAUGCAGCAAUAUUUUGUUUUGGAAGACAUUUAAUAAAACAAAUAAGAAUAAUAUUGAGCCUGCACCUUUUGGUAGUCCAUAAGCCCUAAUCUAAUGUGGAGUCUGAUCAUCAUGAUCACAGCUUCAUAGCUAAAAAAAACACGUAUUAUAGCUUGUGAUGCCAAAAAAAUACAAUCCAUAUAUAUUAGCAGAUGCAAAUCUGUGAUUUGUGAAGACCCGUGCGGGCGUGUGUUUAGUUCCACAUCAGUUAUUCGCUGGGUAGAUCUUGGGUAUUUAUACAGGAUUAAGGAACCCAAAUAGUAACUUCUGGCUAACCAUUUUGGAUGAGGUUCUGGGUUGUUACAAAUGGUAUUCCCAUAAUCUAUGUGGACUAGGGAACACUGCAGCACGGAUCCAUUAGGGCUGACCACGGGCCAAUCGUGGUGUUUGUGAUUAGAUUUGAACCCUUAGCCCGAUAAGGACGUCAGAGCUUGAACGGGGGGAGUAUGUGAGGAUCCGUGCAGGCGUGUGUUUAGUCCCACAUCGGUUAUUCGCUGGAUAGAUCUUGGGUAUUUAUAUAUAAUCAAGGAACCCAAAUAGUAACUUCCGACUAACCAUUUUGGAUGAGAUCCUGGAUUGUUACAAAAUCUAUAUCUAUGCAUGUUAUAAAUCCAUAUAACAAUUUAUGAUACAACACUAUUAACAAAGUUAAGUUUGAAGACAAUAAACACAAUCAGAUUGUUCUACAAAUCAAAAUGGUAAUAUCUUCUUUAUUAUAAUUUUCCAGAGAGUUUUCCCUAGCUAAGCAUGCAUGGCCACUCAAUUUGCCAUUUAUUUUAAAAGCAAAUCGUGAUCCAUGGCUUCUUCUCUCUGCCUCAAGAAAGAAACGUGGUAUAUGCUUUUCUUCCACGCAAGAGCGCUUUCUUUUCUUUUGGGAUGAGUGCAGGGCACUGAUGUAGCAAGAUAAAGAGAAACGUCCUCCAUUAUGUUUAAGUGACCACCAGCUUUGGCAGCCUACCUGGAGUCCACUUACGUGAUUGCGAGCACCCUCAGAUUACAGUAUCGAUUGUUGUUAUGGUGACAUAAAGUAAAACUACAGUAUAACCUAACAGUUUUAUUACCUGACUUAUUUAAGCAGGAGAAGAAUGCCUAAGAGUUUGAGGAACAAGAAGGAAUUGCCCAUGGGAACUUUCAUCGGACAUGCUGUCCCUGCCCUUGCCUUCACGCUCCUAGGCCUGUGGCACACCCUCAACACCAUCAAAACCUACAAGCUCAAAGGCCCAUCCCACUUCGCCUCCACAACCUGGUUUCCCUUGUCCACCCCCAUCGCCAUCCUGAAACACCUGGAGCUCUACCUCCUCUUCUCCUUCUCCAUCUUCGCCAUCAUUCUCCAACUCCUCGACUACCCCCUCUUCACCUUCUCCUUCAAGCCCAAUAACUACGAGCACGCCACCAUCUUCCUCCAUGUAGCAAUAUACUCUUCCAUCGCCCUAGCAGUCGAUGUCUCCUCCUCCUCCUCGGAGGCCCUCCUUGGUCUUGUUGGAGUCCUUGCCACCUCUGUCUUUGGCCAAGAGCUCUUCCUACUUCACUUCCACUCUAUCGACCAUGCCGGGCUUGAAGGCCACUACCACUGGCUCCUCGAACUCAUCGUGGCCAUGUCGCUCCUAGCGACCGCCAUUAGCACCGGUUUUCCAACCAGUUUUCCGGCUGCAGUCGUGAGGUCGGCAUCAGUGUUGUUCCAGGGGUUGUGGUUCAUGGUCAUGGGGUUUGCGCUAUGGGUUCCGGGGCUUGUGCCUGAGGGUUGCCACGCCACGGGACCGGAGGGCGCCGGCGGGCAUGGUGCAGUUGCAUGCGGGACGGAGCAAGCUAGUCGGAGGGCGAUGGCAUUAGCUAACUUGCAGUUCAGCUGGGCUCUCGCCGGAGUCUUGGUUUUAACAGCCUAUUUGUGUCUGAGGCCGGAGUGGAAAUGCAUGGAGUACAGGCAGCUGGAGUCUAGAGGUGUGGACGUGAGUCAGGUGUCAGGGGAGGGUGAAGGCUACAAAGGAGUCCAUGCGUCAGUGUAGAAUGCUUUUUUCCACAUGAAUGCAUGCAACCUCAUAAUAAUCAUUUCAACCUAAACUAUAAGCAUCUAUCUUCAUAUUAGUUUAUGUUAAAAUAAUUCAACAUUAUGGUGUAGUAGAGAGGUGCAUGAACCUUGGCAUCAUGUCAUGUGUGCCACAAACCAUCGUUUUCUUGUAUGCAUGGCUCGCACACAGUUAUCGCCAAACAGAGGAAGAAUACAGUAUAAAGUUCCCCCCAUCCAAAACGAGCACCAGAAAAGAAGCUCAAAAGGAAAACUUUACAACGAUAUACUUGGCUGGUAAAUUGAUAUAAUCCAGAUCUAUUCAAAGAAGAAUCAUGUAUUUUAUGUCUAAAUUAACAUCAUGGACUAAGAUUACAAGAUUUUUUUUAAUCCCUUGCUAACUUCAAGUUUGAGAAUCUUGACAUAAACUAUAAGUAUUAUAAUAUUAUUAACAACUAAAACAAAUACUUGUUUUGUUUUAGGAGGAUUGUGAAAGAAACCAACUUUUUUUAGGUUCUUGAGUGUAGCGCCCUAUAUGUAUGGAUAUUAUAUAUGAAGGCUUGGAAUAUCAAUGCUCCUAUUGUAACCCCUCUCUUUACAACUCAACUAGAUUAAGCCCACAAAGCUAGUUUCAACAACACUUGUCACUUGGAAUAUUAGAGCAUUUCGAUAAUGAAUCUAAACAAACUUGCUUCAACUUCACUUUUUGGCAUCCUGCUUGAGUUGAUAUGUAAGUUGAAUUCUCUUGAAGACGAAAAUAAUUGCCUUCUGAAUUUUACAUUAAGCUAAAAAAAGAUAGGAGGAAAAAGAACUAUCAUUUGGAAAUCCUAAAGUGCAACAAUAACUUUAUGAUUAUAUUGCCUUUCUCGGUUGUUUAUUCAGAAGAAGUUACUAUGAACAUGAUAACAGAGCUUGCGUUAAAAAUAAGCAAUGAAAUUGCUUUUAUAGGACAUGGCACUAAUGUUUUACUGAGAUCAGGGUGAACCAAACCAAACUGGGCAGACCCUCCAAAGAAUAUUUAAAUUAUUACUGAUGAUUUGUUCACCAUCAUAGCUAUACUCUUAGCCAUAGGUAUGUCAAAGGAAUCAAGCUAGGAGUACUAUAGGGCUAGGGCAAAUGAGGAGUAGAAUGGACUUGAUGAAUAAAAUCAAAAAUAAUAAGUUGCAAACUAAUCAAGGAGAGAGUUUUCUCCCUUUUUUUUUUCUUAAAAACAAAUACAAAAUCCAUCAUGAAUUACAAGGAUAUAAGUUUAAACCUAAUCUACUUCUCAGGAGGUGUGAGGCAUGCAGAAUUUUUGUUUUACUUCAAACCAGAUAUUAACCCAACUUUUAACCUUUAGAGUCAUUCAUUAGGAUGGAGAUGGACCUGAUAGAUAAAAUCAAAUAUACUAAAUUUCAAAUCUAUGAAGGAAGGUUCCUUUCCCCUCUUUUCCCUUAAAAAAAGUGAAAAAUGUAAAUCCCUCAUGAAGUAGAAGGGGUGGAGGGAUUCAAAAUUUUCAUGUCGCUUCAAAUCAAAUGUUGUGCUGACUUGUAGCUCUUAGGGUAAUUUGUUGGGAUGACUUAUCUUUUCCAUGGCCUCAACAGGUUUGGAUAGAAAGCCUGAACAAGAAACUAGCAUGUACACAUAGAGGUAAGGCAUUUGGAGUAUUAAGAUGACAUAAAUGUCAUACCUAUUUUUUUUUUCUCUCUUCAAAAUAAUUAUAAGUAAAAGUUCAGAUAGAAUUUUGACAUGCAUGCAAAAUGUAACAAAGAUAUUUUUCUCACCACCUCUCAUGGCGCAUAAGAUGACGAUAGCAAUAGCAAGAUAAUGGUGUCAAGGUAGCUAGUUAGGUGGUCGCAAUUUCGACAUUGGUGCUGAAAUGACCAUGCUGAUAAGGUGUUACCAGAUUAGUUACAAAUGGUGAUGAUUUUGAGACAAUCAUAGUCAAAAUGGAGGAACCAUCCAAGGAUCGAUGAAGCUCACAACGCCGGUUUUAGGGCCCCAAAUUAGUUGCUAAAAUAGAUAAGACCAAUAAUUCUUUUGGUGACCAUACCAGCAACACUAUUUGGGCCAUCAUAUCGUCUAAGAUGUAUUUGCCAAGGGUGGCAAAAUGUAUACAUUACAUCCUAAUGCUUUUCACACACACACACACAUUGAAUCUGUUUCUCAUGAGUUAAAGGAUCUAAAAAUAUAAUUAAAUAUCUUGACAUUUAAUAUAAAAUUUAGGAAAAAGAUCAAGAAUAAAAACUGCAAGCGGAUUAAUCUUUUUUCGCUUAGUACUAGUUGUAAGGUUGCAUCAUGGACUUGUCCUGCAAGCAACCUAAAUGCUUACUUGUAUCUAUACCUGCCCCAAAUGCUAUAAAAGUUAUUCCAACUUCAAAAGAGAAUAAAUAAACUCAAAGUAUUUUUCUGUAUGCUAGUAUUCCGUUGAUUAGGGAGGUGGCUAAUUAGCAUGAUGACCAUGUUCACUAGAAAGAAUUCAGCUUCAUAUGCUCUUAUGAGGGUAAACAUUAUUUAAUACCAAUUCAGGCACUUCACAUCAUGUUUAAGAUAUAUAUUUAAUAACUUAUCGGCUUUAGAUGUACCUUUCCAAUUAUCUCUUCAAAGAAAAAAAAUAAAAGAAAGGAAAAAAGAAACAUAGCAGAUGAUUGACUUCCAUGUUGGAGAAACAUGCCCUUAGAAUUCUCCCGUUUUUGACACAGAUUGGAACAAUAUUCUCCCACCUAAUUAAGGCUUUGAAGAAAACAAGUACACAAUUUUGUUUCCUUAAUUCUUUCAGUGGGGCACUGUUCCCACCUAUCUGCGUCGCCUUUGACAGAAUUUAUUCGUCCUCAUGUGCUCGUGACACCAACCUUAAUUUUGGUGGCCCCAUCCCUGUAUAUGUCAAAUGGCCACGGUCUUUAAGUGUCUCCUUCUCUGCGCACCAUAUGGCCAUGCACGCCAUAUAUCACAAUCGCUCAUUCAUGUAGCAGUGCAUCGAGAUGAGCGCUUGAUGAAUAGACCUACAAAAACAACUAGUUGUGAUUGGUUGCGUGCACAGGCGAUGCCAUGCAUACAUGGUUGGAAAUAAUUUCUCCUCCUAUGAGGCAUGACACACUCAAAAUGAUAGACAUCAGUUGUGUGACCCAGUAGAUCAUCUUGAACUCAACUGAUGAGUCCUUGCAGCUUCAAAAUUCAACAAUAUCUCAAUUCGACAAGCAGGUUCUAUGCAGUAGAGAUCACCUGCUAAGGACUCCAUUGCAAAUUACAGUUAGCUGUCAUUUUGUCAAACAUGUACAUGUAAUCAGAGGUCAAUGAUAUUAGUUGAUGAUAAAGAUGUAUCUUGUUUGAAAUGUGAGAAUCGUGUGGCCAUGGAGAUGAUUUUGGUGCAUAUUGGCCUUGCGAAUGUACUGGUUGGAACACUGGCACAUUGGUCUUUAUUGGAUUUUGGACCAGCAGGUGCAAAUAAUUUUCCAUUUAGGUUAGCUUCUAGUAACAUUGGACGCAAGGGACCAAACUCCAGCUAACUAAAAUCAAAAGGCAUUUGAUCCCAUUUAUAUGCAUUCAAGCCUGACCUAGAUAUGAAGGAAUAUGGUGAAGGUCAAAUAAUCUAGUUAGACCUAUUCAAAUUGAGAAUAUUCAGUUCAUUAAGUGAAUGGUGACUUCAAAUUAAUGAAGGAAACUGAUAUUUUGUUCAGACCAGAUUGCGUACUUUGGUAGAUCAUCUGAACAUGUUGAACCAUAUAGAUUGAGUAAUUCAUAAGAGUUAUGGGCAAUUGUUCUGUGACGGAAACAAACAAACAAACAAACAACUUGGGGAUAGUAUUAAAAUUUGGAGGGUAUGGUAAGUGGCAAGUAAUAGAAAAUACAAAUAUCGGAAAUUUAUGGGAAAGAGAAAAAAUAGAUUUUUUGUGAAAAAAAAAGUUUUAAAAAAUUAUAAAUAAGUUUUUAAAAUUUCUAGAUUUUCUAUUGAAACAAAGAAAUUAAGAAAUUGAUUUUCAAAAGAGAAGAAAAAUACUUUGGUAAACUUAAUUUCUUGCAACCAUAUAAAUAGUACAAUUGAAAUCUUGAUGGAGGAACGAGCGCUCGCUCACUCGAUCUCUCUCCUUUCUCUCCCACCCUCUCUCAAACAUACAAUCAAUGUUUUUAUUAAUGUGAUUUUGGCACAUCAAGUUAGAUCUUAUCCAAUUUGCUAUAGAUGAUGUAAUGAGCCAUCAAAAAUAUUAAAUAUGAUCAUUAUAAUAGAACGAUGAAAAGUUAUCAUUAAGAAAAAUUAGUUUACUGCAAGAUUUGAACUAAUUCAUGGUCUAACAUUACCAAUAUAACCUACCAAGAAGUAAUACCACCAGAAGCCUAUUUGCAAUUCCAUGCCCUGAACUAUGGAUGGGCUUUGCCCACCAUUUUCUCAAAAACAAAAUAAAGCAAAAAAAAAAGAAGAUGUUCAUGUGGUUAAUUCAAACUUGGCUUAAUAUCCUGCUAGUCUAGCUUAAGCUUAACUUAAUUACAAUCACAAGAAAGCUAGAUCUUGAGCUUCACUUAAUUAGCAAGUUGGCAUUCGAUAGAAGAUAAGUUAUUAUAAAUGAGUAAUUCGAUGGCUCCCCCUCUCACUCAAUCUCUAUUACACCACCAACGAUAGGAGGGCUAAAAGCUUCUACAACUUUUAGAAAAAGUUAAGCAAACCUAGUUGAAUCUAGCGUCGGCUGGAACCAUAACAAUAAUUUUAAAUAUUAGUAGAGAUAAGUUUUCUAUGAAAUUUAAAAGAUCAAUUUUUCCUGUUGUAUCAACUGCCACUAGACACGAGUUCAUUUAUGAUAGCUGUGGUACAUAAAUAUAUUUAUGAGCCUUUUGACAUCUUGAACAAGGGCUCUUAAAAUCUAAGAUUUCUUGAUUAACACUUGCCGACAAAUAUUUUAAAUAGUCUAUGAUUGCUUAAUAUGACAAUAGAAAAAUUUUGACUAGCUUGAAAAUAGGAAAAGAGAAAGAAAAGAUAAAGAGCAAGAUAUUCACCCAAAAAAUUGAUAAGCCAAAAAAGGAGUUGGUUUAGGCAUCUUGUCUUUAUGCGAGGUGUGCUACAUAUUAUUUGACAGAUAUUGCUGUAGUGUAUCAAGUCUAGCUCAAAGUAUCAAUUGGAUUUCGAGCAUAAGAUUGAUUGCAAAUACAACUAUACAUAGGUGCAACAUGAUUUGAUCAAGUAUGCUAUCUAUGCCAGAUUUUAUGGUAUAAAUAAUAUGUAUCCUUUGUUUUUGGGGUCAAUUGUUAACAAAUGAAAGGUUGUCUAAUAUAUACUAGAGAAAGGCAGAAAGGCCUCACCAAAAAAGAAGCAGCCUUGCCAAAAAAAAAGUGAGAGGACGGAAACUCAUCCUAUUACCAUCGUAUCUAGACCGAGGCAGAAGCGCAGCUCGGACGAUCCUAAGGUCGACUGGAGACGAACUAGCAGGUUGGUUGAGGCGUUGGGCAAUAGACUCUUCCGCUGGGUGUCCUGCAAGAAGUCCACUUGUCAGAAGAUUUUCGGUAGAAGAUCCUCCCAUGCCUAAGUCAAAACAACAAGAUAACAAUAUGGAAAGAAGUAAUUUCAACAGAGUAAGGGAUAUGAAGAGUAGCAUAUUGUGUACCUCAAGUCCUCCGGAUUGUUCUCUGUAUAUAGGAGAGCCAACCUUGUCAUUACCUAGGCUAAUGUGACAUACAAUAAUGCUAGGCAACAAUUGAUGGUACGACCGCGGCGUGGGAGUCAGUUCGUGUGGGCAGAGCACGGCGUUGGUCUGACGCAGGACGUAGGGCUACCAUGAUUAUGGACAAAUAGGGUUGUCGAUUGUUGGGGCUGUCAACCCUUGUCGACGUGUGCCUGUUGUUCUAUUAGUGACUCCUCGAUCGAAGCCAAAAUCAUUCACCUCGGUUUACGUCUGAGGACACAGAGAUCGAUCAGGCCCGAGGUCAGGGUAUCCGGUAUUUUCUCCAUCACUUACCCCCCACUUCUGAGGUCGAACAAUAUUCUGGUUCGGGCAAUUGAAGUUGAGCAGUUGCCUCGAUCGAGGGCGAGACCUUUGUGAGGGGUGUUAAAUGAGUCGGAUGGCCUUCCCUAAGCAUCAUCGGAUCUGGGCUAUCCCGAGACGUCAUCAUUGCGGGGCAACCCCGGAGUCUGCGAAGGCGUCGAGGUCAACGGCGCUAACGGCAAAGGCGUUGAGGGGGAGAGGCAAAGGAGCUGAUCUUGGAGGAUGCUCUCCUAGUCCUGGAUCUUGGCCUUGACGUCGCGGAUUACGCCCAAGAACCCAGCGCCUGGGCGACAACCUUGUGGGCGAGGAUCUUCGCGAAGAUCUACAUCUUUUCAACCAAAGAAAACUAGGUACCUCAGUAGCGACGGGAGCAAGGAACAAAGCUCUUGACCAUAUCAUUUUUGCUUUUUCUUUUUGCUUGGGUGAACCAAGUUUAAUGUACUCUUUUUUUUUUAUUUGGCCGCUACUGAGGUUAGUAUAAAAAUCCAUAAUUUUAAUGAAGACAAGAAUUUCCUAAGUAUCUGAUCACUUUGGUCUUAGUUUGCGUCAUGUCGUUGUUUGUUUUUUAUUUGAGUAUAGGUUGUCGUGCUUUGUCUCGAACUUUUGCUGUGGUUCUUUUUGCUCAGUUUUUUCAAUUUUGGCUCAUCUCUGUUCAUUUCUUCAUUCGAGUUUGGGUCAUCUCACCGAGCCCCCUCGUCUUGUGAAACUUUGAGCCUAUCUUGGGCUCCUCGGCUGAUCUUCCCAAAGUCUGGCUCUCGAGGGAUUCCGAGUGGGCUAAACCUUCUAUUUAGGUUGUUCCUGCCUGAAGAGGUCGGUUGGCACGCCAAACGUUUCGACGUGGUAGCCGAUCUUCUCAUCUCGGGAAUAUGCUUCCCAAGGUGUCCUUGGGUUGGCUACCUAGAGAAAAUCCGAGUGGGCUCGGUCUCCUUAUCUCAAAACUAUGCUCCCUAAGACAUCCCUAAAGUUGGCUACUCAGAAAAAAAACUGAGUAGGCUCGGUCUUCUCAUCUCGGGAGUAUGGUUCCCGAGGCAUCCCUAGGGUUGGCUACCUAUGAGAAAUAUGAGUGGGCUCAGUCUUCUCAUCUCGGGAGUAUGCUCCUCGAGGCAUCCUAGGAGUUAGCUACCUAGGAGAAAUUCGAGUGGACUCGGUCUUCUCGUCUUGAGACUAUGCUCCCUAAGGCAUCCCUGGGGUUGGAUAUCUAGGAAAAAUCUGAGUCAGCUCGGUCUUUUCAUCUCAGGAGUAUGCUCCCUGAGGCAUUCCUGGGGUUGGCUACCUAAGGAAAAUCCGAGUGGGUUCGAUCUUCUCAUCUCGAAGUAUGCUCCCCGAGACAUCUUUAGAGUUGGCUACCUAGAAAAAUAUGAGUGGGCUCGGUCUUCUCGUCUCGAGAGUAUGCUCCCCGAGGCAUCCUUGGGGUUGGCCACCUAGGAGAAAUCCGAGUGGGCUCGAUCUUGAGGAGAUCAGCAUCUCCUUUCAUCCUCGAACUGAGGUCUUCAAAGGAAUCCCAAGCGAACUCAGUUUAUGGAGGCCCCAGGCAUCUCCGGUGUGUCUCCUUUCUUGGGGCCCAGGCAUCCUCGGGAUGUCCCGAGUAGAAUACAUUUGUCAUGAUUGUCCAACCUAGAGACAGAAACAUAACAAGAAAAUUGUUUAUUAGAGAUAAGCUCGGACUACAAUGCACCUCACUGAUAAUAGACGCACAGGUUGUUGGAGUUCCAUGUCCAUGGAAUUGGAGCAUCAUGAAGCUGCUCCAGUCGAUAUGCUCCUAGUCGUACAACUUCGAUCACUUGGUACGAGCCUUCACAAUUUAGGUUGAGCUUAUUGAGCUCUCCUGGUCGGGAUGCUUCGGCCUUCAAUUUUCAUGUGGAUCUGGGUCUUCGGAGCAGUGAGAGGGGUGUACCUCUCAAAUUGGCGAUGAGGGCUCUUGUGCCGUCUUGAGCUCUUCUUGCGUCGGAGUGAGAUGCUCCUCAGCUCUCUUUGCUCCUCGCACCACCUCUUAUCUCCCUAGGGGGGGUCUCCUGCUAGCAAACUCGCAGCAGAAGGCUAUGGCCUCCUCGGCAUUGGCAUAUUUAUCGGCUCGCACUAACAUCUCAGCGAAGUCGUCUAGGAAGCAUUUUUCCAAGAAGAAAAGGAAGCUCGAUAGUUGCAUGCCACUCUUCCUUAUAUAGGAGAGCCAACCUUGUUGUUACCUGGGCCAACAUGAUUUGCAAUAAUGCUAGGCAGCGGCCAGUGGUCUCAUCGCGACGUGGGGGUCAGUUCGUCUGGGCUGACGUGGAACGUGGGGCUAUUAUGAUCAUAGGUUGACAGGGCUGUCGGUUGUUGGGGUUGUGAUCCUUUGUUGACCUGUGCCAAUUGUUCUCCGCGGCUGGCGACUCAUCGAUCGGAGCUAAAGUCGUUCACCGAGCCGAAGUUGUUCACCUUGGUUUACGUCUGACAGGAAGGUCGAUUAGGCCCGAGGUCGGAGUGUCCAAUAUUUUUUCCAUAAAGCCCAAUUCACAAGCACAUAUAUAACUGCCAAGAUAGGUUUAUUUUCUAAUCUCGAAUUAUAUGAAUGUUUUGUUUAAACACAUGUAAAGCAAAAGAUCUUACAAAUAAAACAACCAAAAUACAUGCAGGGACAGCCAAUAUAACGUGCCUAACACACUAUCUGUGAUUGUGAUAUGUUAUAUCAAUUCUGGAACAAAAUAUAAUUAGAUAUUAGAUAUCUAGACAAGAUUUACCAUACCUCUUAAUAGGGCUUCCAAACUAUUCCUAGUUAAUGACCAAAUAUUUGGGUAAAAGAAUUGAUUACGACUUGUCUACAAAAAUACUAUGGGAUCAUUAAUUUUGAUUUAUUUUAUUUUUCAAGUAUGUAGACACAAGCCUACCUUGUUAUGAGACCUACUUGUAUUUUCCUAUGCAUCUAAUAAGACGUUUUGUUAGUUUUGGCAAUUCUUAAUAGCAAUGCAGUUUGACAAUUAAAGAUCUCUUGAUAAAGAAAAAUACUUAUGUAAUAAGGAAUAUCCAGUUGGCUGGCAUUAUCAAACUCUUAAUAAAGGAAAAUUCUUAUUUUAAAAGAAUGAAAAUUUCCCUUAGAUUCUUCUUUAGUAUCUAGAAAUUUGUCAUGUAUUAAAACUACAAGAAACAUUUCAACACUGGAAGGAUUGGCUGCUCUUUUUUUUUUUUUCUUCGUACAGAUCUAAUCACAUAUUUUUGCUAGUGAUUUGUUAUGUACUUUACAUCAUAUUUUGUUGCCAAUUCUAAUUACAUAUUUUGAAAAAUUGGAUCUAAUUUGGGUAUAGAAUUAGAAAAUUUAUAGUCGAAUUUAGGCUAUGAAACCUAAUUUUGCCUCAAAAAAGUGUCAAUUAAUCAACUCUUCAAAUAUUUCACUCAAUUGUUUACUCUUCAAAUAUAAGCCUUUCAAUGUGAAUCACAAGCUAGAUUAUAUCCUGACCACCUUAAAACCAUCUUUCAAUUCUGGUGUCUGUUUGGUCAACGGUAGCCCGGUAGGACUGCGGGAUGGCAGCGCAUUGGCUAAGCCCUUCUAGUGGUUUACGUGGCCCCCAAGCAUCUCCACACCGGUUCCCCCUGUGGGGACCACCACAUGAAAGCUGGUUCCAGAGAGCUUCCGUGGAAGUCAUCGCAAGCUGCGUGCGUUGAAUUAAAACCCUCCCCAGACGCCAUGGCGCUUUUGCGUGGGAAAGACGAAACUUUACAAGUAGAAUCAAAGUUCUAAGCUUCCAAAUUGCCCCUAAUCCUCUCUAAGGUCAACUGCUUCCCAUCACAAACUAUAGAACAAAACCAACUUAAUUUUUUAACAUAAGACUUCUAGAAUUCAAUCCAUUUUUUCUUUCUAUCUCGUUAAGAGAGAGUUUUAGAUAAAGGUUAGGGGGCACUAAGGCCAUUCCUCUAUUUCUAGAAGGCCCACCCAUGAGCUCAUGUCACAUUAUGCGUCAUCACAUACAGCCUAGCGCUUAGGAACUAUCCAGACUCAUUUGAACCUCCUCUUUAAAUCCCCCCUAAAACCCUCCCACCACCUUUCCCCCAUAGCCCCUAAAUCCCUCCUCUCCUCCCAACUUCUCUCUCAACUUCUCUCAUGUCCCCAUAAAUCUUAAAGUUUAUUUUUUUUUCAUUUCUCUCAACCAAUAGCUUCCUUCUUUGUUUAGUUGAUAGCUAUGGGCACUUUGGUAGGCCAUGUAGCCCCUGGGUUUGGGUUCCUGGUAAUUGGGCUGUGGCAGCUUUUCAACCAUAUCAAACUCCACUGCCUCCACCCCAAAUCCUACGUAGCCCCGCCGUGGUUCCCCACCCCAUUCUUCCGAUACCUGGAGCCCGUCUUGAUAAUAUUGGGCAGCCUGGCCUCCAUUGCCAUGGAGCUCGUGAUCGGCCCGGAGGCCCAUCAGCCGUUCGACGCCGAUGGAACCAUCCCUUCCAACCAUCUCCACAACUUCGAGCACGCCUCCAUCUCCCUCACCUUCCUGAUCUACGCCGCCUUCGCCAUCGCCUUGGACCGCGCGAAGCUGAAGCAACGCGACGGCAUGACGCUGUUGCUCGGCGCCGUCGCGUUCGGCCAGCAGCUGCUCAUGUUCCACCUCCACUCCGCUGACCACAUGGGCGUCGAGGGCCAGUACCAUUGGCUCCUCCAGACGGUGAUUGUGGUAUCCUUGGCCACCGCUCUGAUCGGGAUCGGGCUGCCGAGGAGCUUCAUGGUGAGCUUCGUGAGGUCGAUCAGCAUCGCGUUCCAAGGUGUUUGGUUUGUCGUCAUGGGAUUCAUGCUGUGGACUCCAAGCUUAAUUCCGAAGGGUUGCUUCAUGAAUACGGAGGAGGGGCACCAGGUGGUGAGGUGCCAUAGCGAUGAGGCACUCCACCGGGCCAAGUCGCUGGUUAACAUCGAAUUCAGCUGGUACAUGGCGGCCAUGGCGGUGUUCUCCAUGUUGCUGUACUUGUUCUUGUGCAGGAGAUACCCGGAGGCGCCGGAGUACCUCCCGUUGGUGAAGGAGGAGGGUGUUCAAGACGAUGAUGAGGACCUGGAGUCGCAGAAGAGGCUCGGGGAGUCUGAUAGCUUCGUUGAAAUGGGGAAGGGGAUGAGGGGCAUGGAGCUCGAGAGAUAAGCGCAAGGAAGAGGGCCCGUUGGAUUAGGUUUCGUUUUCUUAACCAUCCGGUCUUCUUCUUUUAUAUAUAUAUUUUUUCUUUUUAUAAGGGUUAAAUGAGGUGGAAAGAUGUAGCUAGUGGAAGUUUAGGGGAUUCUUUUGGAUUGGAGCCUUUUGUGGUUGGAUCGAUAGAAGUGGCGUUUGGGUUUGGUUCUUCUCUUUUUCAAAGAGAAAUGGGAAGGUGGGCCCUUUUUUUUCUUUUUUUUUCCGUUGUAUGUGUGUGUUGCUAGUUGUGAGAUUGAAACAAUGGUCUCAACUUUGUAGUAUAUUUAGCAGUUGCAAUCAUGUAAAUCCGGUCUAAUCAGAGUUCGAGUUGUAUCUUCCGUGCAAAAGAAUGAUCUUUUUUCACAACAUCAACCAUUGAAUCGCAUUACAUAACAGUCAUAGAAGUCGAAUAUCUUUCUACCAUCCACAUGAGCAAAUCUCGAAGCGGCUAUUGCGCGAUUGAAUUGUUGACAUCAUGAAAGAAGCAACUUAGAGAUUUGGGUUUAUAUAGGGCUAGACAUAUUGCAUAAAUCUCACAUGAGCCAUGACUCUUGCUUUGCUACAUAUCACCUCUCCUUGAGCUGGACAACACAUGGAAGAUUCAAAAACUCCAUUGGAAAAUGCUGUGCUUUAACUAUCCAAAAUAUAAUUUGAUAAAGGACUUGAGGAUAUAUAUAUAUAUGAGCAUUUAUUCUCGGUUGAUAUGAGAAGAAUGAUGUCAUGAAUUUUCUUCUCGGACCAGCAAAAUGGGAAUUUUGUAUCGCCACCAUGUAUGUUUCACAAAGGUUUAGCAACUCGAGCAAGGCAAAGGAUCCUAUGCAGUGCUCACAUGUUGAUAUUUAAUCAAGACAGGAACACCAAUAGGAUAGGCUCAAUUGACCAAGAUGCGUUAUUGGGCAAACCAUCAAAAUCAAUAAUAUACUUAAUCCAACAGAUGCAUUAUUUUAAGUCCUUUCCUGAUAAAAAAAAUGAUGAUUUCGGUUCCUAAGCAAUUUCGGAUGGGCCAAUCAACCUAAGUCACUACCUGACUUUGCAUAAUUAAUUUGAGUAGCAAUUUCUGCAAAGAAAUGGAGCAAUAACCUAUUUCAAAAACUACCAUUGAUCUAAAGAUAGUGAAUAAUUCAAUCAAAAUAGUAAGGUCAGAAGCAAAUACACCCCUCAAUGUGACAAACUUAUGAACUCUUUUGCACAAACAGUGGCCAUCAGAUCCAUGUCAAUUUGCCGAACUGUAAUAUAAAAAUACCAUGAAUUGAAACUUAAAUGAUCUAUUAGAUCAAAUUGUGACAUCAGAGCAUCUGAAGAUGGAUCACAGACUGCAGUCUUUGCAGGCUUGCGAGACGACAAUUCGGAUUCGAAAAGGUCACUGUAUUCAGAUGGAAUGAAUGAUCUUGACCAUUCCUGCAAUAUGAGACUAGUUUGGAAGCUAAAGACAAGGGAUAAGCAUCAAAGAUAAAGACUGAUGGGUGAAGAUUUUGGACCAAACAGAGCAUUCAAGUUGUUGUGCCUUCAUGGAAGGGCCUACUAAAGGGAUUAAACCAAAAGAAGGCCUAAUUUAGAGCCAUAGAGAAGGUUGAAGUCGGUCAAGGUGUUCCCACCUGGAGAAGGAGCCCACCAAAAAUGUGAACUUUUCUGUGAAUAUUAAGCAACUAUUACAGUCUAGUCAACAUUUUUUUUUCUAUGUAGAAGUCAAUAGUUUGGUCUAAUACGUUUUAUUUGCUAGCUGUUGACCAAUGGACCUAUUAACUGUCAAUCUCCUGGGAAAAGGUAGCCCACCGGUUUCUCGCACUGCUUCCAGGAAAUUAAGAUGAAGACUAUUUAUUUUUGUUAGCCAGAAUGGAUGGUAUCUGUCUCAAAUCCAAUUAGCAAAAUAAGCUUGGGUUGAGAUACACUAAAUCUACAUCAUGUCUCAAUUCAGUGAAACUCAGGCGAAUUCCAUCAUGAAAUCUCUUGUGAGCACAAGGUGAUCUCGCCAAAAAAAAAUAAUGCGUGACUUCACAUAGUGACUUCAUAUAAUCUCAUGAGAUCAUAAGCUGAUCAAAGUGUGAUAAAAAGAAAUGAAGUCCACAUUGCCUAACUCUCUCCUCUGAAAGGCAAUCAACUCUCUACUUGGUGAUAUCUGGCAGAUGGUGAGAGACUGCAGUACCUUUCAGGUAAUGCACGUAUAUAAAGAGGCGAACAGAGCUGCCGACUAGAUCGCCACCUAUACAACACAGCAUUUCAGAGGGGUUCUCUAGAUCGACUAGGAUACCCCUCCUCCACAGUUCUGUCAGAUUGUUGUUGUGGCUAUACUAAACUAAGACGAGCAGCCGUUGUAUAAAAAAAUAAAAAAAACAAAGAAAAAAAAAGAAGGCAAUCAGCCCAUUGGAGAGACCUCCAAGAGACACACCCAAUCUUUUAUGUUUUCCUCUGAAUAGAGGCACCAUAUAAUUGGGUUUCCAAGAAAAUGCAAGCAUUCAAAUGAUGAGAGACAAAGAUUCUUCUACAAAUAGGCGAGAAAUUAGGCUUCCCAGCCCCUUGGCAAUUCCAAAUCAAGAUUUCAUGAUAACUGAGAGAGUGAAGGGUGGUUACCUCAGAUUCUUCCUGUUUUGCCGGGUGCUUCUCCCCGUCGGGUGGUUACCUCAGAUUCUUCCUGUUUUGCCGGGUGCUUCUCCCCGUCCCCUCCAAAUCAAGCAUCGGUCUUCUCUGGAAGAUCUUCCUCGCUUCCCCAUCCUCCACCGUGGCCUGACCCUCACCAUCGUUGGCUUCGGAAGGAUUUGAAUCACCCGCAUCCAUCAUCUCGUCUUUCCUUGUUCCACUUGCCAACUCAAACACAA
Molecule: long non-coding RNA, 33368 nt
Filed under: Phoenix dactylifera (date palm)
Lineage: Eukaryota; Viridiplantae; Streptophyta; Magnoliopsida; Arecales; Arecaceae
Description: long non-coding RNA (PDAC_LNC002093)
Source: RNAcentral